RNAcentral lists this ribosomal RNA (497 nucleotides) under uncultured bacterium. RNAcentral describes it as "partial 16S ribosomal RNA". It matches the Rfam family "Bacterial small subunit ribosomal RNA", at positions 28 to 507 of the family's 1533-position model. The record is from RNAcentral.
GAUGAACGCUGGCGGCGUGCCUAAUACAUGCAAGUCGAGCGAACGGACGAGAAGCUUGCUUCUCUGAUGUUAGCGGCGGACGGGUGAGUAACACGUGUAUAACCUACCUAUAAGACUGGGAUAACUUCGGGAAACCGGAGCUAAUACCGGAUGAUAUUUUGAACCGCAUGGUUCAAAAGUGAAAGACGGUCUUGCUGUCACUUAUAGCUGGAUCCGCGCUGCAUUAGCUAGUUGGUAAGGUAACGGCUUACCAAGGCAACGAUGCAUAGCCGACCUGAGAGGGUGAUCGGCCACACUGGAACUGAGACACGGUCCAGACGCCUACGGGAGGCAGCAGUAGGGAAUCUGCCGCAAUGGGCGAAAACCUGACGGAGCAACGCCGCGUGAGUGAUGAAGGUCUUCGGAUCGUAAAACUCUGUUAUUAGGGAAGAAAAUAUGUGUAAGUAACUGUGCACGUCUUGACGGUAACUAAUCAGAAAGCCACGGCUAACUACGUG